GAUGAACGCUGGCGGCGUGCCUAAUACAUGCAAGUCGAGCGAACGGACGAGAAGCUUGCUUCUCUGAUGUUAGCGGCGGACGGGUGAGUAACACGUGGAUAACCUACCUAUAAGACUGGGAUAACUACGGGAAACCGUAGCUAAUACCGGAUAAUAUUUUGAACCGCAUGGUUCAAAAGUGAAAGACGGUCUUGCUGUCACUUAUAGAUGGAUCCGCGCUGCAUUAGCUAGUUGGUAAGGUAACGGCUUACCAAGGCAACGAUGCAUAGCCGACCUGAGAGGGUGAUCGGCACAACUGGAACUGAGACACGGUCCAGACCCCUACGGGGGGAAGGAGUGGGAAACUUUCCGAAAUGGGGGAAAGCCGGACGGAGCAACGCCGCGUGAGUGAGGAAGGUUUUCGGAUCGUAAAACUCUUUUAUUAGGGAAAAAAAUAUGUGUAAGUAACGGUGCACAUCUUGACGGUACCUAAUCAAAAAGCCACGGCUAACUACGU
This 496-nucleotide ribosomal RNA is filed under the name uncultured bacterium. RNAcentral's name for it is "partial 16S ribosomal RNA". It matches the Rfam family "Bacterial small subunit ribosomal RNA", at positions 28 to 506 of the family's 1533-position model. The record is from RNAcentral.